AAUCAACGCUGGCGGCGUGCCUCAGACAUGCAAGUCGAACGAUUAAACUUUCCUUCGGGAAAGAUAUAAAGUGGCGCACGGGUGAGUAACACGUAAGUAAUCUACCUUUGAGUGGGGAAUAACGUUCGGAAACGGACGCUAAUACCGCAUAAUGCAGCGGCAUCGCAAGAUGACAGUUGUUAAAGAUUUAUCGCUUGAAGAGGAGCUUGCGGCAGAUUAGCUUGNGGUAAGGUAACGGCUUACCAAGGCUACGAUCUGUAUCCGGUCUAAGAGGACGGUCGGACACACUGACACUGAAUAACGGGUCAGACUCCUACGGGAGGCAGCAGUCGGGAAUUUUGGGCAAUGGGGGAACCCUGACCCAGCAACGCCGCGUGAAGGAUGAAGUAUUUCGGUAUGUAAACUUCGAAAGAAUAGGAAGAAUUAAUGACGUACUAUUUAUAAGGUCCGGCUAACUACGUGCCAGCCGCCGCU
This 474-nucleotide ribosomal RNA is filed under the name uncultured bacterium. RNAcentral describes it as "bacterial SSU rRNA". It matches the Rfam family "Bacterial small subunit ribosomal RNA", at positions 32 to 519 of the family's 1533-position model. The record is from RNAcentral.